AUUCUAUGGUGAGAGUAUUUGCAUAACAUUUCUAUAAAUCUUUCCCACGCCUCAUACGAGGAUCGUCAUCCAUCUGUUGUAAGAUAGUGAUCUUAUUUCGUAAUUU
Small nucleolar RNA from Gossypium arboreum, 106 nucleotides. It matches the Rfam family "Plant small nucleolar RNA R71". From Rfam's summary of the family: R71 is a member of the C/D box family of snoRNAs containing the C (UGAUGA) and D (CUGA) box motifs. Multiple nearly identical copies of this snoRNA have been identified in Arabidopsis, and it is thought to function as a 2'-O-ribose methylation guide for 18S ribosomal RNA. The record is from Rfam. Lineage: Eukaryota; Viridiplantae; Streptophyta; Magnoliopsida; Malvales; Malvaceae.